CAGUAGCCGCGGGAAUACAGAGGUCCCGAGCGUUGUUCGGAUUCACUGGGCGUAAAGGGUGUGUAGGAGGUUGGAUAAGUCAGGUGUGAAAUCCCGCAGCUCAACUGCGGAACUGCAUUCGAUACUGUUCAACUAGAGGAUCGGAGGGGGAAGCGGAAUUCUUGGUGUAGCGGUGAAAUGCGUAGAUAUCAAGAGGAACACCGGUGGCGAAGGCGGCUUCCUGGAAGAUACCUGACUCUGAAACACGAAAGCCAGGGGAGCGAAUGGGAUUAGAGACCCCGGUAGUCCCUGUCUCUUAUAA
RNAcentral lists this ribosomal RNA (301 nucleotides) under uncultured bacterium. RNAcentral describes it as "partial 16S ribosomal RNA". It matches the Rfam family "Bacterial small subunit ribosomal RNA", at positions 509 to 809 of the family's 1533-position model. The record is from RNAcentral.